RNAcentral lists this ribosomal RNA (543 nucleotides) under uncultured bacterium. RNAcentral's name for it is "bacterial SSU rRNA". It matches the Rfam family "Bacterial small subunit ribosomal RNA", at positions 29 to 607 of the family's 1533-position model. The record is from RNAcentral.
AAGAACGCUGGCGGCAGGCCUAAGACAUGCAAGUCGUACGCGAACGACCUUUCGGGGUUAAGUAGAGUGGCGAACGGGUUAGUAACGCGUGGGAACAUACACAGCACAGGGGGAUAACCAUUGGAAACGAUGGCUAAUACCGCAUACGCCCUAUUGGGGAAAGAUUUAUCGGUGUUGGAUUGGCCCGCGUUAGAUUAGCUAGUUGGUGGGGUAAUGGCUCACCAAGGCGACGAUUUAUAGCUGGUUUGAGAGGAUGAUCAGCAACACUGGAACUGAGACACGGUCCAGACUCCUACGGGAGGCAGCAGUCGGGAAUAUUGUGCAAUGGGGGCAACCCUGACACAGCCAUGCCGCGUGAGUGAAGAAGGCCUUAGGGUUGUAAAGCUCUUUCAGACGUGAGGAUGAUGACGAUAGCAUCAGAAGAAGCUCCGGCUAACUUCGUGCCAGCAGCCGCGGUAAUACGAAGGGAGCUAGCGUUGUUCGGAAUUACUGGGCGUAAAGGGCGUGUACGCGGAUUAUCAAGUUAGGGGUGAAAUCCCGGGG